UGCUUAUAACAUAUGGGAUUUGUUCAUUGAUGCUGGCCUCUGCUGAAUACAUGUAGAUGUCACAUUGACAAUCAAAGCACACCAUUUUAUUUUACACACAAACUUGUCAUGAGCUAUAAUUAUUAAUUAUGUUUCCGGUUUUCUUGAAAUACAUUGUGACUUGUUGUCGUACUUACUUUAUAAGUGAAAACUAUCUCAGUUAUAUAAGAAAAGUAAUGCAUUCAUAAAUUUUCCAUAUUCAAAACAC
Molecule: long non-coding RNA, 247 nt
Filed under: Mytilus galloprovincialis (Mediterranean mussel)
Lineage: Eukaryota; Metazoa; Mollusca; Bivalvia; Mytilida; Mytilidae
Source: RNAcentral